This 253-nucleotide ribosomal RNA is filed under the name uncultured bacterium. Its description in RNAcentral is "partial 16S ribosomal RNA". It matches the Rfam family "Bacterial small subunit ribosomal RNA", at positions 524 to 776 of the family's 1533-position model. The record is from RNAcentral.
UACGUAGGGGGCAAGCGUUGUCCGGAUUUAUUGGGCGUAAAGAGCUCGUAGGCGGUUUGUCGCGUCUGCUGUGAAAACUCGGGGCUUAACUCCGGGCCUGCAGUGGGUACGGGCAGACUAGAGUGCGGUAGGGGAGACUGGAAUUCCUGGUGUAGCGGUGAAAUGCGCAGAUAUCAGGAGGAACACCGGUGGCGAAGGCGGGUCGCUGGGCCGUAACUGACGCUGAGGAGCGAAAGCGUGGGGAGCGAACAGG